This 450-nucleotide ribosomal RNA is filed under the name uncultured bacterium. RNAcentral describes it as "bacterial SSU rRNA". It matches the Rfam family "Bacterial small subunit ribosomal RNA", at positions 29 to 523 of the family's 1533-position model. The record is from RNAcentral.
AGCGAACGCUGGCGGCAGGCUUAACACAUGCAAGUCGAGCGGGCGUAGCAAUACGUCAGCGGCAGACGGGUGAGUAACGCGUGGGAACGUACCUUUUGGUUCGGAACAACCCAGGGAAACUUGGGCUAAUACCGGAUAAGCCCUUACGGGGAAAGAUUUAUCGCCGAAAGAUCGGCCCGCGUCUGAUUAGCUAGUUGGUGUGGUAACGGCGCACCAAGGCGACGAUCAGUAGCUGGUCGAGAGGAUGAUCAGCCACAUUGGGACUGAGACACGGCCCAAACUCCUACGGGAGGCAGCAGUGGGGAAUAUUGGACAAUGGGCGCAAGCCUGAUCCAGCCAUGCCGCGUGAGUGAUGAAGGCCCUAGGGUUGUAAAGCUCUUUUGUGCGGGAAGAUAAUGACGGUACCGCAAGAAUAAGCCCCGGCUAACUUCGUGCCAGCAGCCGCGGUAA